Molecule: ribosomal RNA, 301 nt
Filed under: uncultured bacterium
Lineage: Bacteria
Description: partial 16S ribosomal RNA
Rfam family: Bacterial small subunit ribosomal RNA
Source: RNAcentral
CAGCCGCCGCGGUAAUACGUAGGUGGCGAGCGUUGUCCGGAAUUAUUGGGCGUAAAGGGAGCGCAGGCGGACAUAUAAGUCCAUCUUAAAAGUGCGGGGCUCAACCCCGUGAGGGGAUGGAAACUGUAUGCCUUGAGUGCAGGAGAGGAAAGCGGAAUCCCCAGUGUAGCGGUGAAAUGCGUAGAUAUUGGGAGGAACACCAGUGGCGAAGGCGGCUUUCUGGACUGCAACUGACGCUGAGGCUCGAAAGCCAGGGGAGCGAACGGGAUUAGAGACCCCAGUAGUCCCUGUCUCUUAUACC